UACGGGGGGGGUAAGCGUUGUUCGGAAUUACUGGGCGUAAAGGGCUCGUAGGCGGCCAACUAAGUCAUACGUGAAAUCCCUCAGCUUAACUGGGGAACUGCGUGUGAUACUGGAUGGCUUGAGAUUGGGAGAGGGAUGCGGAAUUCCAGGUGUAGCGGUGAAAUGCGCAGAUAUCAGGAGGAACACCGGUGGCGAAGGCGGUUCUCUGGCCCGGUUCUGACGCUGAGGCGCGAAAGCGUGGGGAGCAAACAGG
RNAcentral lists this ribosomal RNA (253 nucleotides) under uncultured bacterium. RNAcentral describes it as "partial 16S ribosomal RNA". It matches the Rfam family "Bacterial small subunit ribosomal RNA", at positions 524 to 776 of the family's 1533-position model. The record is from RNAcentral.